This 87-nucleotide small RNA is filed under the name Salmonella enterica. RNAcentral describes it as "partial RtT sRNA". It matches the Rfam family "RtT RNA", at positions 1 to 83 of the family's 130-position model. From Rfam's summary of the family: This family represents a bacterial cis-regulatory element known as RtT RNA. The exact function of RtT is unknown although it is thought that it may be involved in changing the cellular response in relation to amino acid starvation. The record is from RNAcentral. Lineage: Bacteria; Pseudomonadati; Pseudomonadota; Gammaproteobacteria; Enterobacterales; Enterobacteriaceae.
UGUAUCUGAAGCCUGACGAGGAUGAGAACCUCCGGGGGCAAGAGGUUCGACCCGAGCGCAGCGAGAGAACGUUGCUUCAGCAACGGC